Syngnathoides biaculeatus (alligator pipefish) is the source of this 164-nucleotide small nuclear RNA. RefSeq annotates it as U1 spliceosomal RNA. The transcript has a single exon. Lineage: Eukaryota; Metazoa; Chordata; Actinopteri; Syngnathiformes; Syngnathidae. The record is from RefSeq and is a predicted model, not a curated record.
AUACUUAGCCGCCAAAAACAAUACCAUGAUCAUGAAGGUGUUUUACCAAGGGAGAGGCUCAACCAUUGCUCUUCGUGUGAACUCACCGCUGCGAGUUCCCUUAAUCUGGGAUUCUCGACUGCACAAUUUCUGGUAGUGGGGAAAUGCGUUCGCGCUCUCCCUUG